ACGAACGCUGGCGGCGUGCCUAAUACAUGCAAGUUGAGCGCUGAAGGUUGGUACUUGUACCAACUGGAUGAGCAGCGAACGGGUGAGUAACGCGUGGGGAAUCUGCCUUUGAGCGGGGGACAACAUUUGGAAACGAAUGCUAAUACCGCAUAAAAACUUUAAACACAAGUUUUAAGUUUGAAAGAUGCAAUUGCAUCACUCAAAGAUGAUCCCGCGUUGUAUUAGCUAGUUGGUGAGGUAAAGGCUCACCAAGGCGAUGAUACAUAGCUGACCUGAGAGGGUGAUCGGCCACAUUGGGACUGAGACACGGCCCAAACUCCUACGGGAGGCAGCAGUAGGGAAUCUUCGGCAAUGGACGAAAGUCUGAUCGAGCAACGCCGCGUGAGUGAAGAAGGUUUUCGGAUCGUAAAACUCUGUUGGUAGAGAAGAACGUUGGUGAGAGUGGAAAGCUCAUCAAGUGACGGUAACUACCCAGAAAGGGACGGCUAACUACGUG
This 496-nucleotide ribosomal RNA is filed under the name uncultured bacterium. RNAcentral describes it as "partial 16S ribosomal RNA". It matches the Rfam family "Bacterial small subunit ribosomal RNA", at positions 29 to 507 of the family's 1533-position model. The record is from RNAcentral.